CAUGACGCACAAAAUAUAUACAAAUCACGGAAGUAAAAUGUUCACCAACCAUAAUUCCAAUUUCCAAAUAUCCACCAAUAAAAGCAAAAUGCAAAAUAGUGUCUAGCAACUAGAGAGCAUAUAUGUUCACAUGGUAAUAAGAAAAAUUCUAAACUAAGAGUUCAUAAAAUAUUUGAACACACUAAUGAUUUGUGCAACAAUCUCAUGAUUCUAAAUAGCGUCUUCAUUCAUUUCAUCAACCCUUUGCUCAUUUGAUUCGCCUACAAGAUAAUAAAUCAAUAUUAGCAAAUGUUUGGAAGGAAAUACAUUCUCGACAUAUAUAUAUAUACUGAUUUCACAACUAAAGCUGGACAACGACUGGUGUAGGAAUGUACAGCAAUCCCAGCAAACUUAACUAAUCAAUAAAAUUUUCAGUAAAAUUUCCCCUAUACUUGGGCAAAACUCUAUACCAUAGAACCUUUUAUCAUACAUAUUCAUAUCCAAGAACCAACUUCACAUACAACCAUCACCUGCUCAGUACAUCAUAGCUUGAAGUAUUUGUGAGCGUUACUGUGUUAAAACAAAAAAUCAGAAAACUAUUAGAAAAAUAAAGAAAUGUAUAAAAUAGUAAAGAAUCAGAAAUAUUCCGAGUCCACAAUUUUCUUGUGCGUCUUUAAGGAAUUUUAACCCCCUCACACGUUGCCAAGGUAAUGGAUUAAAUCCUCCCAGGAUAAAACGGAAUAAACCUUCCUGCAACAGUGGCAAUACAAACUGCAGGAUACCCUCAAAGAACGNNNNNNNNNNNNNNNNNNNNNNNNNNNNNNNNNNNNNNNNNNNNNNNNNNNNNNNNNNNNNNNNNNNNGAAGAUGCAGCCUUGCCUCAGAAUUUAUAGACAAAUAUCAGAAGAGGUGUCUGGAAAGGUGCCUUUUCAGAAAAUACACAGCCUGCCGCGGUCUACCGCGAUCGCGGCAGAACCGCGGCCAGAGAGGCCCUCUGAACCUGACUGCCGCGAUUCUACCGCGGUCGCGGCAGAACCGCGGCCAGCUAGGUCCUCUGAACUUUCAGCAGGGUUCUGGCGUAGUUUCAGCAGUGAUUUGACAUUUAAUUAAUUAUUAAAUAAUUAAAUAAAUUUUGUCCAAAAAAUAAUCUUAUCGAUCAUUUGACAAAUCCGAAGCCGAGCGAGCGACGACGACGGCGCGAGGGUUCAUUCUCUUCAACUCCUUUUAAGAGCUUUAAGAAGUGAAUCUAUAUAUAAGCACACAAAUGUGAUUGUCCCUCACCAAUGAGGGACAAAGUGCAAGACAAAAGUUCACUUCUUCAAAUUUUCAUUUUCCCUCCAUUUCCAAUUCACACUUCUUCUACUUUAAAGCCCAAUGGCUUAAAGUCCAACAGUAUUGAGCAAAUUUACUUAGUAGAAAAUUACUUUAACCAGUAAUUAACAGUAAAGAAAACCAUAAAUAAGACACAAAUAUAUAAUCUCAUUUCAAGAAUUGCAUGAAUUUGCAUGCAUUCUUUUGUUUAUUAACAUGUGUGUAAAUUUUAAACUUGGGACAGAACAUAAAGGGGUAGGUUCAUCUCAAUCAAGUGUAGAUGUCCAUUUUCAUAUUGAAGUGCUGAAGUGUGAAAACUCCAAAAGCAAUUACUGCAUCAACAACUUUAAAAUCUUAGUACAGCUCUUUUCGACUUAAUAAUGUCAAGCUCAAGUGAGUUUAACAUCUUUAUCAAAAUUUCAUAGUUUACUUAAGGAGACCUCUAAAGACAGUUAUUCUAUCUAUAAUGUAUAUAACCUAAGUUGCUAAGACACGGAUGUGGGUGUCCGACACGGGUGGUGAUUUAGAGGUCGGAUUCUUCGAAAUGUAAAUUCUAAGAUUCGGGGAUACGAAUUCUAGUGCGGAUACGGGUGCGGGGAUCCGGCUAAAAAUAAUUCAAAUAAAAAAUAUAAAUAUAAAACUAUCUUUAAAUUGUGAGAAAUUUUGUGGAAUCAUUAUGUAUAGCUUGUAAAGUGUGGAUCUUUUUAUUAUUCUCAAGUUGUAGAUAAGUAAAGGAUUGAUUUCCUAGAUAAGGUAUGUUAUUUUCUUCAAAUUUACCCUAGUUUUGGUUCUGAUUUCAGGAAUCAAAUUUUAUUUCGUCUCGAAUUUUUCCUUCCAUCGUGGUCAAAGUACCCAAAAUUAUUUGACCAGCUGUGUACGGUUCUCAUACCAACACCCAUACUAGUGUCGUGUCGACCCGGGUGCGACACAUAAACUGCCGUGUCGAAACAACUUAGUAUAGAACCCAAGUAGUAAACUCUGUUUUACUACUGAUUUUCGACAUCAAGUAAAAACAUAAAGCACAGCAAAACACAGCAGAAAAUAUGCCCAGCCUCUCUGAAUUCCAAGAGAUUGAGAAGAAAAAAAGAGAACAAAUUUUCAGCAGCUUCAACUUAUUUUUUCAAAACUUACUUAGCUUUGUUAUGAAGUAGGCCAUCAUUAUCGUCAUGCACGCUGGAACUUUCAUCAUCAUUAUUGGGACGUGCACGUUUUCUCCAUAAAUAUCCUUCCCCGUGAAAAAUCCAUUUGUUGUAUCCUUUAACAAACCCGCAAACAACCAAAUGAUUCUAUAAUACCAAUAACAAUUCAUGCACUUUUUACAAGGGCACAUUAUUUCUUUUCCUUGAGCAACUCGUUCAAAUGCAAAAUCAAGGAAAUCAUUCACUCCACGGAUAUACUCAUCGGUGUCUCUUCGAAGAUUCAUCCAACUUUUAUCUAUGUUCUCCAUUGAAUUUCCUAUGUGACACAAGAAAAUCACAUAAAGGAAGAAAACCAACAUAAAAAUAUAAUCUGAAAAUAUAACCAUGAGUUAUGCAUGUGAAUGAGAAAUUUCAAAUGUACGAAUGUUAUCUUCUCGAAAUUUAGAAUUAUUGAUGUCUUCUAUAACAAUGUCAUCCUAUUAUUCACUUCUGAUCAGACCACUGGUUCCCUUAUCCCGCCCAUCCCACACCACCACCCUCAUAAAGUUCUUAUAUAUGAGACAGUUCACACAAGUAAACAUAAUAUCAAAGCUGGCAAAAGUAUUGAGUACAAAAUUGGUAUCCAUUAAAAAGAAAUUUCCAAGCAUUAAGCUCAAGAGAAAUUGUGAAUCCAAGUAAACAAAUAUAAAGUACUCCUUUCUAACAGUUUAAGCUUUUAAAUGCGAUGAUUCUCAACAUUGGUGCAGUGCCAAAAGAGAAAGUAUACUGCAUGAAUUCGCCUGGGGCACCCGCAUGGUAAGUGAUUUCCAAUAUUAACUUCACAGCAGUCAGUACUCGAGUAAAACUCGUCUUUUUUUGAGUAAUUUCUUGAUUUGAUUGGAAGUACUAAUUUGUAUCAUUCAACUCGUCUACUUUCUUAAUUAUUUGGAAACACUGUGACCAUAUCAAUUGCUGGAACAAAUGGUUUCUACUGCUUUUAGAGCAGCAGCUGACACACUAAAUAGAAUAUCAUUUGGAGGUGUAAAGCAGCUGACCUGCAGAAUUGGACAACUUUACCUCAAUAUUGCAGCUGCUCUCAGAUGAUUGCAAAGUACAUUCUAGCACUUAAUUUACAUUGAAGAACGGGUAAAUCCUUUACUAGUUUUUUAAGAUCCUGGAGAAGCAAGCACAAAAUACAACUAAAGGAGAAAGAAGGAGAAAAAAAAAACAGCAGCCAACAAUUGUGUUACUACCUAAACUGCAGCUAAAAUUAGCAGGUGCAAUAGCACAACCACUGCGCUAUCUAGAACAAUAAAUCUUCAUUACACCUUAAUGACAAACAAAAAAAUAAAAAACAAUCGGCUCAUUAGUAUUUUUAAUUUAUAUCUUGGACAUAGCUAAAAUUAAAUGAUAGGAUUCUUUUGUAUGUCAAUCAACCAGGACAACGAAGUUAAUGUAUAGCUCGCUUCCAGAUAAGCUAACUGGUAAUUUUGCUUCCCUAAAAAAGAAACUUUGCCACCAAAUUUAGCCAAAUGGCAAUCAAACAUAAAAUGAAUUCUAAGAAGAAGGUAAUAGCGGCUCCAAGACAACAACAGAAGCUUCUUCCCCCUCGCCCACAGCUUCAUUCCAGAAAAUGUAUAAGAGAAUCGUGCAAUUUAGAACUUUAAUCCUUAAAUAAGGGUUAUGCUCUGCUUGGGUAGUUGGGCAUAAUGGGCAAGCAAAUAGAAAAUAAUAGCUAUAGGAUCAAAGGAAACCAUGACUAGACAGUAGUUUUAACAAUAAGAACAUCCUCUAAAACCAAAUAAACGUAAACCCACAAGGAUUUAAGGCAUAACAUAUUUACGAAAAUCAGAAAAGAAAAUUGAAGUGUUACCUUUGGUAGUACAGCAGAAUCAAAAAUAUAUUGUGAAUGCCAAGACCGGUUCAAUAACUCUAGAGACUGUUAACAGCUUCGUCCGAGCAUUGGUCUCAACAAGAAUUACCACAAAAUGAAGGAGACAAGAGAAUAACCCUGAACCCUAGGUUUAAAUUUGUCUUCAAUAUUCGGUGUUUUAAAAU
Molecule: long non-coding RNA, 4465 nt
Filed under: Nicotiana tabacum (common tobacco)
Lineage: Eukaryota; Viridiplantae; Streptophyta; Magnoliopsida; Solanales; Solanaceae
Description: long non-coding RNA (NTAB_LNC019176)
Source: RNAcentral